Molecule: ribosomal RNA, 888 nt
Filed under: uncultured euryarchaeote
Lineage: Archaea; Methanobacteriati; Methanobacteriota
Description: bacterial SSU rRNA
Rfam family: Archaeal small subunit ribosomal RNA
Source: RNAcentral
CGGUUGAUCCUGCCGGAGGCCGCUGCUAUCCGGCUGGGACUAAGCCAUGCUAGUCUAGGGGCUUGUACCCCUUCGGGGGUGCAAGCACCGGCGGACGGCUCAGUAACACGUGGACAACCUGCCCUCGGGUGGGGGAUGACCCCGGGAAACUGGGGCUAAUCCCCCAUAGGUGAUGGGUGCUGGAAUGCCCCAUCUCCGAAAGCGCUUAGCGCCCGAGGAUGGGUCUGCGGCGGAUUAGGUAGUUGGUGGGGUAACGGCCCACCAAGCCUAAGAUCCGUACGGGCUGUGGGAGCAGGAGCCCGGAGAUGGACCCUGAGACAAGGGUCCAGGCCCUACGGGGCGCAGCAGGCGCGAAACCUCCGCAAUGCGGGAAACCGCGACGGGGUUAGCCGGAGUGCCCGUGCAUUGCACGGGCUGUCGGGGUGCCUAAACAGCACCCCAUAGCAAGGGCCGGGCAAGGCCGGUGGCAGCCGCCGCGGUAAGACCGGCGGCCCGAGUGGCGGCCACUCUUAUUGGGCCUAAAGCGUCCGUAGCCGGCCCAGUAAGUCCCCCGGGAAAUCUGGUCGCUUAACGAUCAGACUUCCGGGGGAUACUGCUGGGCUAGGGACCGGGAGAGGCCGAGGGUAUUCCCGGGGUAGGGGUGAAAUCCUGUAAUCCCGGGAGGACCACCUGUGGCGAAGGCGCUCGGCUGGAACGGGUCCGACGGUGAGGGACGAAGGCCUGGGGAGCGAACCGGAUUAGAUACCCGGGUAGUCCAGGCUGUAAACGAUGCGGGCUAGGUGUCACCGGAGCUACGAGCUCCGGUGGUGCCGGAGGGAAGCCGUUAAGCCCGCCGCCUGGGAAGUACGGCCGCAAGGCUGAAACUUAAAGGAAUUGGCGGGGGAGCAC